UCGCUAUGGUGUGAGUUGGAGAACUCUGG
RNAcentral lists this non-coding RNA (29 nucleotides) under Mus musculus (house mouse). Lineage: Eukaryota; Metazoa; Chordata; Mammalia; Rodentia; Muridae. The record is from RNAcentral.